RNAcentral lists this long non-coding RNA (558 nucleotides) under Rattus norvegicus (Norway rat). RNAcentral's name for it is "long non-coding RNA NONRATT027544". The record is from RNAcentral. Lineage: Eukaryota; Metazoa; Chordata; Mammalia; Rodentia; Muridae.
UGGUCCAUGUGGUUUGGUUCAUUUACUUUCAGAUAAAAUAGAACUGGGGGACAGUGACCUGAAGUUAAUGUUAAAGAAACACCAUGAGAAGCGGAAACAUCAACCAGUAAGAUUGCGGUGGGAGUGGCCAUUCGUAAUUUUCAGUGUGAUGCCUCUGAUUUGUCCUGAGACAGUGUUAGUACUAUCUGGGUUGUGCUUUUUUGUUAUUUAUCACUGUCAAAGACAGGAGCAACAAGAAAGGCUGCUUGGCAUCAGAGGUAUGAGAAGCCAGUCAAGUGCUCUGGCUUUACAAGGCACGGUUGACAGUGUACGCGUCAUCCAGUCUUUGCGGUUACAUUGGUAUGUGAGAGUCAUGAUCUCCCCUUCCAGUCCCAGAGGCCGAGUUUAUCCUGCGGCUAGUGGCAGAGCCAAGAGCCAAGCUUUGUGCUAUUCCAUUUUGUGUGACCUCCAUUCUCAUUUCAAUAUGGCAGUACAUCAAAGUAGAGAAACAGUGUGAAGACAGACAGCCAUCUGAGAGAGGUCACGUAGGAAGAGCAGGGAGCCAAAAUUGGGUCUGUC